This 473-nucleotide ribosomal RNA is filed under the name Doydirhynchus austriacus. RNAcentral's name for it is "partial 16S ribosomal RNA". The record is from RNAcentral. Lineage: Eukaryota; Metazoa; Arthropoda; Insecta; Coleoptera; Nemonychidae.
CUAUUGAUAAUAAUUUUAGGUCUGACCUGCCCACUGAAAAUUUAAAUGGCCGCGGUAUUUUGACCGUGCAAAGGUAGCAUAAUCAUUAGUUUUUUAAUUAAAAGCUGGAAUGAAAGGUUUGAUGAAAAAAUAACUGUCUCUAUUAAAUUUUUUAGAAUUUUAUUUUUAAGUUAAAAAGCUUAAUUAUAAUUAAAAGACGAGAAGACCCUAUAGAGUUUUAUAAAAUUAUUAAAUUAAUUUUUUAGAAUUUAAAAUUUAAUUAAAUGAUUUUAUUUAAUUGGGGUGAUUGAAAAAUUAAAUAAACUUUUUUUAUAAAUUUUACAUUAAUAUAUGAAUAAUUGAUCCAUUAAUUAUGAUUAUAAGAUUAAAUUACCUUAGGGAUAACAGCGUAAUUUUUUUUAAGAGUUCUAAUCGAAAAAAAAGAUUGCGACCUCGAUGUUGGAUUAAAAUUAAAUUUUGGUGUAGAAGCUAAA